AGAGUUUGAUCCUGGCUCAGAGCGAACGCAGGCGGCGCGCCUAACACAUGCAAGUCGAACGUGAAAGUCCUUCGGGAUGAGUAAAGUGGCGUACGGGUGAGUAACACGUGGAUAAUCUACCCUAGAGUCUGGAAUAACCUGCCGAAAGGCGGGCUAAUACUGGAUAGAGCGACGGGGUGCAUAAUGUACCUUUCGGGAAAGGGAGCCGGCAACGGCCUUCGCUUUAGGAUGAGUCCGCGUCCCAUUAGCUAGUUGGUGAGGUAAAGGCUCACCAAGGCGACGAUGGGUAGCUGGUCUAAGAGGAUGAUCAGUCACACUGGAACUGAAACACGGUCCAGACUCCUACGGGAGGCAGCAGUGGGGAAUCUUGCGCAAUGGACGAAAGUCUGACGCAGCGACGCCGCGUGAGUGAAGAAGGCCUGCGGGUCGUAAAGCUCUGUCAAGAGGGACGAAAAUACAGUGGGUUCAUAGCCCACUGGACUGACGGUACCUCUGAAGGAAGCACCGGCUAACUCCGUGCCAGCAGCCGCGGUAAUACGGAGGGUGCAAGCGUUGCUCGGAAUUAUUGGGCGUAAAGGGGAGGUAGGUGGUCUCGUGUGUCUGGGGUGAAAGCCCGGAGCUUAACUCCGGAAGUGCCUCAGAAACUACGGGACUUGAGUCCUGGAGAGGGUAGCGGAAUUCCCAGUGUAGCGGUGAAAUGCGUAGAUAUUGGGAGGAACACCAGAGGCGAAGGCGGCUACCUGGACAGGAACUGACACUCAACUCCGAAAGCGUGGGGAGCAAACAGGAUUAGAUACCCUGGUAGUCCACGCCGUAAACGAUGGGCACUAGAUUUAGCGGGACUUGACCCCUGCUGAGUCGGAGCUAACGCAAUAAGUGCCCCGCCUGGGAAGUACGGUCGCAAGACUAAAACUCAAAGGAAUUGACGGGGGCCCGCACAAGCGGUGGAUCAUGUGGUUUAAUUCGAAGCAACGCGAAGAACCUUACCUAGGUUUGACAUCCCUCGACAGCUCUAGAAAUAGAGUCUUAGUAGCAAUACUACGAGGUGACAGGUGCUGCAUGGCUGUCGUCAGCUCGUGUGGUGACAUGUUGGGUUAAGUCCCGCAACGAGCGCAACCCCUGUCCUUAGUUGCCAGCAUUAAGUUGGGCACUCUAGGGAGACUGCCGUGGUUAACACGGAGGAAGGUGGGGAUGACGUCAAGUCCUCAUGGCCCUUACGCCUAGGGCGACACACGUGAUACAAUGGCAGGUACAAAGGGCAGCGAAGCCGCGAGGUGGAGCUAAUCUCAAAAAGCCUGUCUCAGUUCGGAUUGAAGUCUGCAAUUCGACUUCAUGAAGGUGGAAUCGCUAGUAAUCGCGGAUCAGCACGCCGCGGUGAAUACGUUCCCGGGCCUUGUACACACCGCCCGUCACACCAUGGAAGCUGAUUCAACCAGAAGACGGUUAGGCUAACCUUCGGGAGGCCGCCGGCCAAGGUGGGAUUGGUGACUGGGGUGAAGUCGUAACAAGGUAA
RNAcentral lists this ribosomal RNA (1513 nucleotides) under uncultured bacterium. Its description in RNAcentral is "bacterial SSU rRNA". It matches the Rfam family "Bacterial small subunit ribosomal RNA". The record is from RNAcentral.